GCAUAUCAAUAAGCGGAGGAAAAGAAACUAACAAGGAUUCCCUUAGUAACGGCGAGUGAAGCGGGAAGAGCUCAAAUUUGAAAUCUUCAAGGUUUUACCUUGACGAAUUGUAGUUUAAAGAAGUGUUUUCUGCUGAAGUUUUGGUAAAAGUUCUUUGGAAUAGGACAUCAUAGAGGGUGAGAAUCCCGUAUUUGACCAUUAUUUUCAGCUUUGUGAUACACUUUCAAAGAGUCGGAUUGUUUGGGAAUGCAGUCCAAAAUGGGUGGUAAAUUUCAUCUAAAGCUAAAUAUUGGCGAGAGACCGAUAGCGAACAAGUACCGUGAGGGAAAGAUGAAAAGAACUUUGAAAAGAGAGUUAAACAGUACGUGAAAUUGUCAAAAGGGAAGCGUUUGACACCAGUGUUGUUUUCUCGAAAAUCAAUUAAAAAUGGCUCGAUUUUGUAUUGCUGAGACCUUAAAAGCUCACUGUACAUUUUUCGUGUCUUUUUUAAUGCACUUUUCGUUUAACAAGUCAACAUCAGUUUCUUUUGUUGUAAAAGGGUCAUUGGAAGGUGGCUUUCUUUUCGGAGAAAGUGUUUAUAGCCUUUGGCCUCUGCAAUCGGAGAGACUGAGGUCUGCAGCGUAGAUCCUUCGGGGCUAAAUGCAUUUGUGCUAAGUUAUAGCAUUUUAUAGACAACUUGUUGACUAUGAUUUGUCUUGUAGCUUACUCGCUUAUGUUAUUUUACCUACGCUUAGGAUGUUGACAAAAUGGUUUUAAACGACCCGUCUUGAAACACGGACC
RNAcentral lists this ribosomal RNA (780 nucleotides) under uncultured Neocallimastigales. RNAcentral describes it as "LSU rRNA". It matches the Rfam family "Eukaryotic large subunit ribosomal RNA", at positions 38 to 667 of the family's 3401-position model. Lineage: Eukaryota; Fungi; Neocallimastigomycota; Neocallimastigomycetes; Neocallimastigales. The record is from RNAcentral.